Alosa sapidissima (American shad) is the source of this 85-nucleotide long non-coding RNA. RefSeq lists it as uncharacterized. The record is from RefSeq and is a predicted model, not a curated record. The transcript is spliced from 3 exons. NCBI's taxonomy places the organism in Eukaryota, Metazoa, Chordata, Actinopteri, Clupeiformes, Clupeidae.
UGUUGUUACAAGAACAACAUUUUGAAAAAGGAUUGUUAGGUGUUGACUGCAGAUUUUCAUUUUGUCAUAGAUACGCAAUAUUCAU